UACAGCGCGUUUUUUUUUUUUACUCUCCGCCUCGUGCUCAAUUUCCUCUCUGCCUCGCCCCCAACCCUUCUUCCCCCGCGAAUCCUCUCGUCUUCUUCGUCCUCUUUGGUGGGAAACAAGAGAAUGAGAAGAGGGAAAAGAAACGAAAGGAAGGAAGGAGAAGGGGCGUGAGGGUUACAUCUGGUGGCUCCGAUGGCAGAUUUGGUGGCUUCGAGGCGCAUGCGACAAUGUGAAACCAGAACACUGGCAGUGAGCAUGAGGCCAAAAGGCAUCACUUUUCUUAAUUCCUAUUGAUUCAGAACACCGGCAGUGAGCAUGAGGCAAAAA
This is a long non-coding RNA of Glycine soja, 327 nucleotides long. RefSeq lists it as uncharacterized. NCBI's taxonomy places the organism in Eukaryota, Viridiplantae, Streptophyta, Magnoliopsida, Fabales, Fabaceae. The transcript has 2 exons. The record is from RefSeq and is a predicted model, not a curated record.